GACGAAGGGGGCUAGCGUUGUUCGGAAUUACUGGGCGUAAAGCGCGUGUAGGUGGUUUUCCAAGUUGGAUGUGAAAGCCUUGAGCUCAACUCAAGAAAUGCAUUCAGGACUGGGAGACUAGAGGACCGGAGAGGAUAGUGGAAUUCCCAGUGUAGUGGUGAAAUACGUAGAGAUUGGGAAGAACACCAGUGGCGAAGGCGGCUAUCUGGACGGUUUCUGACACUAAGACUCGAAAGCGUGGGGAGCAAACAGG
Molecule: ribosomal RNA, 253 nt
Filed under: uncultured bacterium
Lineage: Bacteria
Description: partial 16S ribosomal RNA
Rfam family: Bacterial small subunit ribosomal RNA
Source: RNAcentral